AACGAGAGGAGUUUAAAAGGAAAAGGAGGAGUUUAAAAAGACAAAAGAGGAGUUUGAGAAGAAACAGAGCAAGUUAAUUGACGAGAAAGACAUCCUGUGCGUCCAAAUCGCAGCUCUUUGCUAUAAUUUAGGUCAUGGUCCGUUCUCUUACGUGUUUAAGGACAGGUUCAUCCCUAAAGUCCUAGAGCCUGGCAAUCAGUGGAAGGUAAGCAGAAAAAAAAAUCUCUUCUAUACUGUGCAUGCAAUGCAAACUGUAUUUUAAAUUUAGCAUUUCACAAUUCAUAAUUCUGUUUUCUAGGGAAAAGUGCUUUCUUUACAAAUAAAAACAAAUGCUACUUGAUUAAACACAAUGCGAAUACUAAAGUUACCUACUAAGUGUAAACUAAAUGAAAUAUUGUACUGUUAAAAGAAGCAAGU
This is a long non-coding RNA of Cyprinus carpio (common carp), 417 nucleotides long. RefSeq lists it as uncharacterized. Lineage: Eukaryota; Metazoa; Chordata; Actinopteri; Cypriniformes; Cyprinidae. The record is from RefSeq and is a predicted model, not a curated record. The transcript has 3 exons.